RNAcentral lists this transfer RNA (66 nucleotides) under Modiolus modiolus (northern horsemussel). RNAcentral describes it as "tRNA-Lys". The record is from RNAcentral. Lineage: Eukaryota; Metazoa; Mollusca; Bivalvia; Mytilida; Modiolidae.
AAGAAUAAAGCUUUUAGCUGAAGCGAUGGCUUUUUAAUCCAUAGAAGUUUUGUUGGACUAUUCUUA